GGCAAAGGAGAAAUGCUCAAUAACAGGGAUGUAAACAAAUUUGUGCACCAAAUAUGAGAGAAAUAAGCUUUUUGUGGGUAUGGAACAUUUCUGGGAUCUUUUAUUUCAGCUCAUGAAGCAUGCGACCAACACUUUACAUGUUGCGUUUAUAUUUUUGUUCAGUGUAUGUAUAUAUAUAUAUAUAUAUAUUAGUCCCAUAGUGCAAAAACCUUCAUAGAUGUUGGUCAGUGUAUACAACAACAAACAAUCUCAAAAAUGUGAUAUGGGUGGAUAUGAAGAAAAAGAUCUGAGGUACCAACAAGAAACUCAAUGUCCCAGGAACGCAAGCUAUUUAGGAUUAUAUCGUAAUGUAUUAUGAGUCAAUUGUGACCGACUCUCUACAAAUAAUAAUGAGUAGUUAUUUAUGAUGCAAGGUUCUUUGUCGAUCAGUCAGUCAGCAGUCACCUGCAAGGUCAUAACUAGUUACCACAGCCACAAAGUCAUAAACCCCAGCUAUUUCUACAAUUUAUCUUCUUAUAAUGUGAUUUUAACCCAACCUCAAAUUAUGACCAAGCAAAUUUUUGUUUACAGACAUUUUUUACAAUAUAGCCAAUUUUGACUUUGUGGCUGUGCUAUCUAAUGGAAAGCUGCCAGCAAUGUCGUACAAGCCCAAUGGCUCUGAGUUUUAUUUUGAGGUAUGAGAAAUGAGCAGGAGGGCAUGGGACUAAGGAGUGUGUAGUUUCAGUGGAAAAAGUGUAGUGUUUCAAUUGUGGGGGUGGCCAUGUUGCUGGGGAUCAGAAAUGUCCUGUGUGAUUGACACCGGUUCAAGUUUCCAGGGUGAUAGUAGUGCAGAAUGUGUCAUAUGCUGAGGCAGUGAGGAAAGUAGAGGAUGGAGGGCAAAUUGUGAGGGAACCUGAGAGGAUCCAUGCGAGUAGUAGGUCAGUACAGAGUGACCCGAACCGUUUGUGCUUUACUAAGGUUGACUUCUUGGCGUUUAUUGCUAUGGUCAUUAAUUGUACCGGACAGAUGAAAAGAUAAUCCCAGAAAAUGUAAUUGGUAGUAGCAGCAGCAGAGAGGUUUUUGGGUGUCAGAGAUUUUAGUGCAGAAGAACUGUAGAGGGUUUUGAGAAAAGGGGUUCCAGCCUCCCAGGCCAACAGCCUGAAGUAGGAUAUGUUAGGGCCAAAGUAGUGGGAGUAGUAGUAUAGGGUUAAAUGGUGGCGCAAUUUCCUUUUUCCCCCAUUUCCCUUUUUUUGAGAACAAAUGUGCAAUGCAUUUUCUGAAUUGUGAAAGGCAGCAAUACGCAACAAAGAGGCAUCUGCUGGAACACCACACGAAUAAGGAGGCGGCGGCUCCGGGUUUCCCGGAUGUACAACAAAUAGAGAGCAAUAGUAAUGGUGCCUGGGGUAGGUACUAACUCUGCCAUGAUUCGUUGACAAGGCCUAUGGGAAAAUUAAAGGAGUUUUAUUAGGGUUUUAUUUUUACUUUAGUUAUUUUUGGAAAUAUUUUCUUAACUGUAUUUUCUUAAAACUGCAUUGUUGGUUAAGGGCUUAAAGACUUAAGUGUUCCAAAGGGAAAGUGAGGGACACGCUCAAUAACCUGGUCCUCUUCGGCAAAGCCACCUACGACAAACUGAUCAAGGAAGUGCCCAACUACAAACUCAUCACCCCAACUAUUGUAUCCAAAAGGCUAAAGGUCAGAGGCUGUCAUCGCCAGAGCAGCCCUCCAGGAACUGCUGUCUAAAGGUAUGAUCAAGCUGGUGGGAUCUGUAGAUUGCCGCCGUGUGCCAGAGGAGAGGUCUGCUGCUCUGCAGGAUGUUUCCCGUGUGUGGGAGAUCUUCACCUCCUACUUCUUCGAAGAGAGUGCUGUUCCCUGGUAACAUCAUAGACUACACUAUACACAACCAAAGGCUCUUGUAAGAGCCAUCCACAUUGCAAUAAGAGUAUUUUUCCAUUUACUUAGCUAUGUCAACCACAGUUAUUGAAUUCCCAGUUUCUCUCCCUUUGAUUUCUACUUCUCAGGUGAGGAUGCUGUUUAGGUAAGGGUGAUGUCUGUACAAAAACAAAACAGGCUCUUUUAAGAAUUUUUUGGGAACAAUUAGACACCCUAUAACCCACACCUACACACUUGUGUAUCAAUCUGAUUGAUGGAUUGUGUUGUUCAGGUAUAUUACUGUUGCUCCUUCCACCUUCAAAGAAUAGGCAAGACGACCAACCAUAGAGAAUAGUACUUCAUUAUUUCUAUAACUACGCUAUAUUGUUUGUACUUGUGUGUCUGUGCAUGUUUAUCAGUAUAAAGUACUCUGCAGCCACUUAAUGUGGACACCAGGUGAGGCCACACAAACAGAUUCCCUUAUUUUCUCAAUAACAGUCUCUCUCCUUCACUUCAUCCCGCUCCCCCU
Molecule: long non-coding RNA, 2377 nt
Organism: Salmo salar (Atlantic salmon)
Lineage: Eukaryota; Metazoa; Chordata; Actinopteri; Salmoniformes; Salmonidae
Source: RefSeq, a predicted model, not a curated record